This is a long non-coding RNA of Macaca mulatta (Rhesus monkey), 1522 nucleotides long. RefSeq lists it as uncharacterized. The record is from RefSeq and is a predicted model, not a curated record. NCBI's taxonomy places the organism in Eukaryota, Metazoa, Chordata, Mammalia, Primates, Cercopithecidae.
GCUCCCGCCACCCGCCGGGACUCGGGAGAGGCCGGACACGGCCACGCGCGGCGCCCCCUGGAGCGGCGGGACGGCAGUGAGGGGAGCGGCGAGCGGCGCGGCGCUUAGGGGAGGCUGCAGUCGGGGGCGGGACGCAUUGUUUCCCCAGGGGACCUCCCAGGCCAAGCCUGCACCGGCGCCCGCGGGGCCCCCCCGGACACCGUGAGCUCCAGCCGCCUUCUGGCGCCGCUGCCACCCGGAGCCCCGGGACGGCAGCAAGGACCACGGCCCGCCGCACUGGGUGGGCAGGCCUUCCCCUACGAGCCCCGGCACGCCGCCCCCUCUGUCCCACACGGAGCCUGCAGCGGUAUUUUAAGAUCUCUGUGGUGAACCGAGACUAGAAAUGAAUCUGUGAAUCCACCACCGAAACAGUAUGGGAACCAUGUCUAAUCAACCAUAGGAAGUGGCCAAAGGAGGAAGCAGGAGUUUGUGGGUCCAGUGUGGAGGAGACAAAGACUGGACUGCUGUUCCACACCUUCAGAACACUUUGGCUUCUGAUAUUCUGGAGAAACCAGUGUUAUCUGAGUGUUAAAGCUCAGUUAUUAAUCCUUUCUCAGAGUUCCGGGAUAAUGUUAUUAGCUUUCAAGCAUGUGAUGCAUCCCAAGAGAGCUGUUGACUUCCAGUCUGACCAAAUUCUUUCACGUUGUGGCGUGUACGAUGUAUAAACGUUUUGGAAUGCCUCUGAGACGACUUCUGCCGCUCUGAAGGUGUCCAUGUUGGAGGGUAUCAGGGCCCCAGCUUUCACUGGAGUCUUCACUAACUGUUGAAACAGCCCAGGACAAAUUGGCAUAGUGCCCUGGCAUCCUGAUGUGGCGGUGCACGUAGUUCCAGACUGACUUGUCAUUUAUCAGUAAACGUGAAUGGACAUUCUCCUCUGCAGAACUCUGGAGGCAGUACAAGAGAGAAGACAGACUGAGGUGAGGAUAGCGUUGUUCCUGCUUUUCUAAACGGAUUGUUGAGGGAGGAGGGAAGAAUUAAGAAAAGCUUCGCAGAAGAGAUGAUGUUUUCACUGGUCUGAAGGAAGAGUAGGGUUUGCUGGGCAGAGGGGAACCGCAGGGAAUAAGCAAAGGCAUGGAAGCACAGUGUUACAAGGUGCUGGGAUCAUGGAAGUGUUUAAGCAUUACAGUGACAUUAUAAUAUUUGUGUUUAGAAUUCUUCUCUGGAAGUGUUCUGGGCCAAGGAGGAUGAUUGUAUGUGGAAAUAUUGAGAGAUAUUAGGGACAGGCAGAAAAAAUAAGGGACUCCCGAUAAUAGACAAGAUUAGUGGAACUGGGGUGGAGGAAAUGUAUUUCGGAGGUAUUUGGGGACAAGGUUUUAUGACAACUGGGCCCUGAAGGUGAAAGGGAGAAAUUUUAUUCAAUAACAACUUCCUGCUGAAUUUACAAUCCUGGCUAUGCCAUUGACUAAUUGUAUGACUUUUGACAAGUUUCUUAACCUAUGACGGCUUCAGUUUCCAACCUGUAAAAUAAAGACACUGGACUAGA